GACAAUUGGGUUUUUUUCUCUUUAUCAUUGAUGAAAAUGGACCUAUAUUGGGCUAGAUAUUGGGCCAUAAGCACCAAAUAAAGGGCAUCCACCAAUUUCAAUCAACAAUUUCUAGGGUUUCGAAUUUCUGCAAACUUGCUCGCUCUACGCCUCCGUAAGAAGAAGAAGAAUGGGUCACUCAAACAUCUGGAACGCGCAUCCAAAGCUGUACGGACCUGGUUCUCGUUCCUGUCGUGUGUGUGGUAACUCGCAUGGAUUGAUCAGAAAGUAUGGGCUCAUGUGCUGCAGACAAUGCUUCCACAACAAUGCUAAGGAAAUUGGGUUCAUUAAGUAUCGUUGAAUUAUAUAUGGUGGGAUCUUCAGAGGUCGCAAGAGAUCAAUAAAGGGUAUGAUUAUUAGGAAACUUUUGGAAAUGUUUUGGUAACUAUGGAGGAUCCGAGAAUGUAUGUUUUUAGUUUUAAAUUAAUGCUUGUGUAAACGACUAUUAUUUGCUUAUUGAUAUUAGUAUCAUCACUUUGGGGAAGUUGUUUUUAUCGUUUAUACAUCUUUUGACAUUCUGUUGCCGUGAUAUGCAUAGAACAUGUGUGAGGAACAUACAUUUUCUGACUGAAUUGAACACAUUACCAGCUAAACCAAGACGAUAAACCUACGUAUUUUGACAACCCAUUGAUCAUAUACUUUUUUUGGUUUUAAAACGCAUGCUUUAAGCUGUGCUCGUGACGUGAGUCGUACACAGUCAAGAAGGGGACUGCUUCAGAUGGCAUUAGGUGAUACACGCACACGUUGUAUAUUACAUCUUAUAUAUACAAAGAGAAGCUGGGGAAUGCUUGACACUCCCCCAUUGGUCCGGACAUCUGCCUAAUACUCGCUCAUUAGUCCUGACAAAUUACAGUUUAGUCUCGAGCUCAAAAUUACGGUUUUGCCAUCGUUUUAGUUUUUUUUUUCUAGCAAAACUAUGGUAGUGUUUUUUUAAUUGUUUGAGAAAUAUUCGGCCUAUCGCCCCGCAAUGUAGACGGGGCAUCAACUUUUUUUCAUACAAUAAUUGUUUGAGAGCAUGU
Helianthus annuus (common sunflower) is the source of this 1058-nucleotide RNA transcript. It is a transcript of the gene named 40S ribosomal protein S29, with no coding region annotated. The transcript has 4 exons. Lineage: Eukaryota; Viridiplantae; Streptophyta; Magnoliopsida; Asterales; Asteraceae. The record is from RefSeq and is a predicted model, not a curated record.